Molecule: ribosomal RNA, 622 nt
Filed under: uncultured Actinomycetes bacterium
Lineage: Bacteria; Bacillati; Actinomycetota; Actinomycetes
Description: bacterial SSU rRNA
Rfam family: Bacterial small subunit ribosomal RNA
Source: RNAcentral
GGGCGUAAAGAGCUCGUAGGUGGUUUGUCGCGUUGUUCGUGAAAUCUCACAGCUUAACUGUGAGCGUGCGAGCGAUACGGGCAGACUGGAGUACUGCAGGGGAGACUGGAAUUCCUGGUGUAGCGGUGGAAUGCGCAGAUAUCAGGAGGAACACCGGUGGCGAAGGCGGGUCUCUGGGCAGUAACUGACGCUGAGGAGCGAAAGCGUGGGGAGCGAACAGGAUUAGAUACCCUGGUAGUCCACGCCGUAAACGGUGGGUACUAGGUGUGGGUUUCCUUCCUUGGGAUCCGUGCCGUAGCUAACGCAUUAAGUACCCCGCCUGGGGAGUACGGCCGCAAGGCUAAAACUCAAAGAAAUUGACGGGGGCCCGCACAAGCGGCGGAGCAUGUGGAUUAAUUCGAUGCAACGCGAAGAACCUUACCUGGGUUUGACAUGCACAGGACGACUGCAGAGAUGUGGUUUCCCUUGUGGCCUGUGUGCAGGUGGUGCAUGGCUGUCGUCAGCUCGUGUCGUGAGAUGUUGGGUUAAGUCCCGCAACGAGCGCAACCCUUGUCUCAUGUUGCCAGCACGUAAUGGUGGGGACUCGUGAGAGACUGCCGGGGUCAACUCGGAGGAAGGUAAU